This is an RNA transcript of Zea mays, 14419 nucleotides long. It is a transcript of the gene named putative ATP synthase protein YMF19, with no coding region annotated. The transcript has a single exon. The record is from RefSeq and is a predicted model, not a curated record. NCBI's taxonomy places the organism in Eukaryota, Viridiplantae, Streptophyta, Magnoliopsida, Poales, Poaceae.
AUGCAUUUGGGAUUACAGUGCCAAGCAUUCGUGCUGGGAUUUGAGACAGUGCCAAUCUCAUCUCGAACUAUUACUAGCAAAUAAAUCAUAGGUAGAAGGAAUCUCAGUGAUUACAAUUACAGCAGCGCCACGCCAGUAGAGUAGAUUCCGUUCGUUCUAGCAAUCAUGCCAGAACUCACUGAUCCAUGUGCUCCCAGAAGGAAGGAUCUCGUUCCCAUAGCAUAGCCUAUAAUGAAUGUGGCUUUCCCCCCCAUCUCCUAUCUAUAGCUUCUAUAGCUUAUAGCUGGAAUGACCUAUAUGACCGGAACCACCUAAACAUCUAUAUGACCGGAACGGAACCUCAACCUAUAUGUAUAUGACCGGAACCUAAACAACCUACUGGACUUGCUUUGCUACUUGAGCCUAAGCUAUAUGAUCUGAACCAACCCUAUCGGGACUAGAUCCUGUCUACGGACUUGAUCCUGUCAUGUCAACGGACUUGCACUUGCCUGUCAAUCUUGACGGACUUGAUUGUUUCAAUACGUCAAUCAAUACGGAUUCUCUUUCCUGUGGAAAUGCUAUCUACCUGGAAGGAAGGUUUGUUUCCCGAAGGAAGGAGAUGGAGAUUCUUUCGCUGGAGAGAUACUUUCUCAUUGGAGAGGAGAUACUUUCUCUUUUCGGGCUCGAAAUCUGUCCUGUCGAUUUCUCUGAUUUAAGGGCGCAAGCACAAUACUGCACUCUCCCUGCUUGCUCGCCCGAUCCGUCGAUCUUCUCGAGAGGAGCAGUUCAAAUCACCCUGUACGGAUCCAUUGGGAUCACCUAGAGCCGCGAGUCCAGUUGAGUGAAUCCUUUCAGGCUGGAUGGAUGCGGUGGGCUAGCUCUGCUCUCUUCUCGAAAUUGCAUAUUGCAUAGAGUAGUAUUGUACGAAACGAUAUCUCGUAACGGAAGGAUGGAAACCAAGAGAAAGAAGACAGCUCUAUCUCAGAAGUGAGCUCCGUCUCACAAGUUAGCUCCGUCGACACCUCGAGCUAUUCAAACGAGUGUUCAGUCAUCAGAUCUCAAUAUCGGGUUGGGAAUCUUUCUAGACUAAAAAGUUUCGUUUUCGUGGGUCGGUGUCAAGUCUAUCUCUCAUGUUGCUCCUCAGAAAACGCGUAGAAUAGUAAUGUCAUUGGCCCACUAGAUAAGGAUGGGACAAACGCUCUAGUCUAUGCGUUAGAAGGCAACUAGUAUUUUUGGUUAUUUUGGGAGGGAGUCUUUUUCUGUCUUGAGGGUUGGUUUGAUUGGAAAUCGAAAUGCCUCAACUUGAUAAAUUGACCUUAUUUCUCACAAUUCUUCUGGUUAUGCCUUCUCCUCUUUACUUUUUAUAUUCUCUUUUAUAAUAAUAAUAAUGGAAUACUUGGAAUUAGCAGAAUUCUCAAACUACGGAACCAACUGCUUUCGCACCGGGGGAACAAGAUCCGGAGCAAGGACCCUAAUAAUUUGGAAGAUAUCUCGAGAAAAGGUUUUAGCACCGGUCUCUCAUAUAUGUACUCCAGUUUAUCCGAAGUAUCCCAAUGGACCGUCGACUAUUUGGGAAAAAGGAGGAAAAUCACUCUGAUCUCAGAUUUCGGAGAAAUAAGUGGCUCACGAGGAAUGGAGAGACAGAUUCUCUAUUUGAUCUCGAAGUCCUCAUAUAACACUUCUUCCAGUCGGAUCACUUGUUGGAAAAACAUAAUGCUCACACAUGUUCCACACGGGCAAGGAAGCAUAAUCUAAUGAACUUAGAUUCUUUUCUUUCUAUAGGACUGAGGAUCCUUGCCUAGAUCCAGAAAAAGUUGGAUGCGCCGGAAGCUGAAGCGGAAAUGCAAUUCUCGGGUGAGGAAAGGGUUGUCUCAGGUACGCCUGGGGCAGGAUUGAAUCGAUGUACCUAAGCUAAACUUAUAAGAUUGAACCACCUAUAGACGGAAUUAGGAGAGCUGAGGUUUAAUCCAAGACCAGGAAAGCACCAGCUAUAUCGAAGCCCAAUGCCAAGCAAAGCCCUAGACGGAAAGUGAAGAAAUUGGCUUCAAGCUUCGCCCUUAACCCAAGAUGAGGUGGAGCCUUACCCCGACACAAGGUGGGACCCUCCCAUUAGGAUAGUGGGCUUAGUCAGACCAACAUAGGUUGUCAACCAAAAAGGAGAAGCUCCCGUUAUUGUUGGUUUAUGGACCUAAGACGAGAGGAUUGGGCUUAGAACAAGACCUUUCGGUGGAUAUGAUCACAUCUUCAUGACAAUAGGUGUACACCUUUGGCCUCACUCAAGGUAAUGGGUGACCAAACCUAACGAGUCUAAACAAAUUGGAUCUUAUUGUGUGACAAAAAACUGAGAUUGGGAAUGCUUGGCAGGUAUUUGAGUACCAGUAAAUUAGGGAAAUCAAACACAUAAAGAAGUUUUCUUUCCAAGCCUGGUAACACCACACUUAAGUAAGUCGAUUCAGAUUAGCCAACAAGCGAAUCCAUUCCAUUAACUCAGUCAACUCUUUCUGGUAAAAGUGCUCAUCAUUACUACUAUAUAUAAUAUAAUAUAAUAUAGUAAAUUACAGACAACACUCAAUGCUAAUGAGUGGAUCAAGUCAUUUACUAGUCAAUGAACUGACUAAACCCUGUCUGUUCUGGGAAUUGACCCACUUAACUAUACUCUUAGGGCAAGCCGCCCUGUGGUAAUUAACUCCGUAAAAUCUGUAUCAGUCUUGAGGCAAUUUGGAAAUGCUAGACAAAGAUAUUAAUCAGAGUCAGUCAAUUCCCUAGCUACAGUUAAUAUGAAAAAUCCCGGGUAGGUAAUUCAAACACGCCCCACCCAAUAGGUGAAUCUUUCAAAGUGUGGGAAAUCUCCCCUUUCUUCAAUCCUAGAAUCGAUGCCUAAGAAAAAGGGUAUAUCUAUUAAAAUGCUCAACCCAUUCAUGCGAUUCAAUCCUCUGCUCUGAUUCUAUUAAAAAGGAAACACUCCACUAAGUCGUACACACUCCCCAAUAAGUCUGGUAAUUAAUUCGUUCAAAUCAAUGCUCGGUGCAGCAGGUAAUGUAACUUAAUCAAUCGCAAGCGGCAAAAGAACUCAAACUCAAUCCACAAUCCGUCUCGCUCGUCUGGGAAAGAAGAGCAGGCUGUUAGGCAAGCCGGCUUUAAUACAACCUCUAGGGAAGCCAGGAAAGUUGGUAUAUACUUUGUACCAAGUACCAAACUUUUGAAACAGUUUGAAUCCAAUAAGGAAGAAAUGAAAAAGCUAGGCCGAAGGAUGAGAUGGCAUUUCAAGAGAAUAGUCGAUCAGUAUGGCAGGAAGAGGUCUCUUUGUCAAAUCCUCUAUCAUCUAAAGCUGGGUCAGAAACUUCCUUUAGGAGCAGAAGAAUUUGCAGGCCGUAGGACAAAGCUUCCAUUCUCGAAGAAACUAGCCAAGUUUGAAAACACUUAAGAGGGCUGGGUAUUGAAAGAGUCUGGCAGGAAGAAGUAUAGUACCAAGCGGCAGUAAGCCUCGAUUCGAAUUAGCAGAGAGGUCAGUUUUAGGAGGUCGGUGUCCAGUGGAGUUCAGCGAGAAACUCAAAGUAAUACAUACCUAUUUGUUGCGAUGUGAUUGCUUCGCACCUUUCAAUAUUUCUUUUACUUCUAGUGCUAUCUUCCAUCCGUUCCAGUUCAUGGAUCUUCUUCUUGUUGUAGAACGAGAAUUGGAUUGAUUCCUAUAGUUUAGUUCUCUAUUUGCAAAUUCAUUACUUAAUAACGAUCUUAUAGGCUUUGUCUCAGGCAGAUCUGGAGCGACUGGAUUGAACAGAAAGUACUCUCACACUAUAGAAAAAAGUAAAGUCCACUAAAAGUACAUGCACUCUUUUCUUACACUUAUAGAGGUUCGAAGAAAUGAGUAAAAGGUAGACUAAGUGAUCAAUCAAGAUCUUGUCUCAAAACCUACUCUUAGAAGGCUCAUUCCAGCAGCCUUAGCACAAGCAAGUAGACCGUCACAAAAGAGAAUGAAAUCAAAACCGGAGAAUGAAAUGCUUUACUUAUAAUACUAAGACAACCAGGCACUUCACUUCAGGCUUUGAUCCGCGACUUACAGAACUGUUUUGCCUGACAUUCAAUCGUUUUCUUGUCUUUUUUUCUUCCCACUACUAUAUAUAAUAUAACCUUUAGAUUUUAUACUCCAUCCAACCACUCUCUGUUCCAUUUCUCAUUCCUUAUUCCUGAAAGGAUAGGUUCUUUAUUCCAGCUGUUCGUUAGAAUCUUAGCUCGAAUUCAAUGUUCGGAUGCUCCAUCCUUCGCGUCCAAUCCCUGUCAGGAGGGGCAGCUUCCUCGAGUCCGGUCUCGGAAGCUGGGGCAAAAUAGGCCAGUCUAUCUGAGGGAACGGGACCUACAAUCAGGAUCUCUUCCGCGGAUCUCUUGCCUUGCUUCUUGACUGGAACCUGGCACUUUUAGCGUGCAUCUAGUCUGCAUAUCCCUUUCUGCAAAUCUCUAUUAGCUCUGCUGCAGAAGUGGAAUGUGAGCUUGGGAAUACCCUUCCGGUUUCCAGAAUCCUAGCUUGAUUUCUUGCGUUUAAAGGCAGGCUUGACCAACCACAUCACAUAAGCCAGCGCAGCGAGAAAACUGAUUCUUCCACGGGAUUCCGCUUCCUACGAAACAUACGUUUUACGAAUUAACGGUUACCAGUAGCGAGCGAUCCUUUCCUACAAGGUAAGGCCAUGGACAAAGGUUUUUUAUCUACCCCAGCGGGGGCAGUUUUAGGAGUCUUUUUUUCAAUCCAUCUUACUUUGAAUCCGGGCUCGCCUUCACUCGGUCAAGGGGUUGCCCUUUACCUCGUUCCGUGGUCCUUUAUCCCCUCCUUGCUUGCCUAGUUUUAUUCCUUUCCGAGGCCCAAAAGCCAAGCAUCACAAUCAGAGGGUUAAUCCUCCAACCAGAACCAACUUAACCUAUGGAUAGUCUCCGCCGGCCUAGGCGGAGAUGGCCAACUGAUAGAUACUUAUCCUGCCCAGCGGGUGCUACUUCUCUUCUUUCUCCUAUUUGCUUUGCUUGACGGUGAAACCUAUCGAUCAUAUCCGGAAGUUGCUUAACACUACCCUCGAAUGCAAGUCAGCUCUUCGAUUCUCGAGAAUCGGGGUGGGCCAGGUGAUUAUUUGAUUUCCAAUAUGGAUAUAAUGAUGUGUAAGAACUGCACCACCGAUAUAGCACCCUUCCUCGGACUAAGGAUAUUCGUACUCCCAGUGCUCUUGCUUCCUUUGCACCCCGGCUCCGAAGGAUCAGUAGGGAGGACUCCGGAUGCCAGUAUCGGAAUGGAAACAUUCCUCGAAUGAUAUGAUGGUUGUGAUGCCCCGUUCGUGAUACCCAGGGAAGGGGACUACAUCAUACUUCUCUGAUCCAGUCCUUUCUUUAUUGACAAUAUUUAUUAGUUGACCACUUUACUAGGCUUUCCCUAACAAAAGUAUUCCGAGUGACCACCCUAUUGUCACUUUACUGUCCAGUUCGCGAGUCCCACUCACUUAUUUUAGUCAAACCGACCCUAACUAAAACUAAGUUAAGUAUAGUACUUUUCUCAAUGCUGCCCGCCUCUCAUCUGUUUUCUAAUCAGCUUCUAUCUUCUGUUCCAACCAAGGAAGCUCUUCUAUUCAACCGGUUCGUAUCGCCAGGCCCCUCAGGGGGUACGGUUUAUCUAAUCACACUGCUCGCUACUACAGGGAUUCCUUCUCCUUGCCGAGUUGCAGGUGUUACCACCCUAGAUAUUCUAUUUAUUAUUUGUAUGCUGCCUUCUCUCCUUCAUCUGGAUUUUUGAGAUGAUUGUUAUGUUAGUUCUUCCUUCUAUGUUGUAAGGUGCAAUCUCAUCCGAUGUUUGCCAGUUUGCCCGAGUCUUCCCGAUUCUUAUCCAGCCCAGCUAGAUUGGACCAACAUCAGCGGUGCUUCUAUUAACCCUUGCUUCUCUACUAUUCUUAGGUCUUAGGAGAACCCUAUCUUCCAUAUUCCUAAUCCUCAAGUACAGUAGGCCGCACUCUUCGAUCCUUUGGUCCUAGAACACCUUUUGUCGUAAACUAUACUCUACAUUCCCCCUCGGUCUACUCCGCCAAAGUAGCGACAAGAUUCAAUUGCUGGUUCGAUUCCAGCUCGCUAUCCGACGGUUAAUCCUUUAACCAGAGAUCAGCAUCCAAGGGUUAUUCCUUGAACCAGUGCUUCCUAUCGAAUCGAUCAUUCUUUACUUACUUUAUUAAGAUUAAGUGGGCAUCCCUCACUGAAAAGAGAAUCAAGCAGGAAAACCCUAGGACGAGGGAUAGUGAUAUUCCUUUCACCGAGCAAGAAACCAUCUCUUUCUUUCACAUAUAUAUAUCUAUUUCAAGAAGUCCAAUCCACCACUAUCAAUGGAGCACUCUACUCUAUACUAUUACCGAGUGAAGAUUUCAUCGGAUCCGGCUUGCUUUCAUUGAAGGACAAGAGCGGAUAGUUCCCUUCCCUUUCUUCGAUGAACCCUUAUCUUUCGAUAGAGAAGUACAGCGAGAUGAACGAUAAGUCGAACGACAGAACAACCUGAUGUUACUGCAUCAAGUAAUUCAGAUUGUCAUAUUGAGAUUUUUUCCUUUUUUGUACUUAUUAUUCCAAGCCAAAAGGCUAUGUUCUCCCCCAUACAGCUCGCAAGGCUCAUAACCUAACUGCUCUACUUACUUAAUUCUUAAUUCAGAAAUUCAACAACCCUCCCUUGAAGGGCCAAAACAACAGCAGAGUAGCAGGUCAAAAAGAGAGAGAGAACUGAAACCGAAGAUACUUGGGUUGGGAGAACUCUUCUACAGUACUCCAUUAACAGAAUAAAAGUAUAGACCAAUCAGCCUUCCUUAUUGUCCAAGAUCAUUACUAAAGUGUUGGCCAACAGACUAGUACCAGUGGUGGAUAGGAGAGUAAGUCCCAGACAGCUAAGAUAAACUCCCGGGUAGUGUUGUCACUGCACAAGAGGUGCGUAACAGGUGUAAGCAAAGAAGAGAGCAUAACACUGGAUUUAGAAAACGAGCAUAUGAUAUGGUGAGACAACUUUCUCUUUUUUGAGGUGAGAUGCUAGCCAGCCCUCUAUUCAUGGGUGAGAUAUCGACUUUACAGCGUUACCACGUACCAAAUCGUUCACUCUAUCAGGCAGCCGGAAGUGCAUCUCUUCUUUUUGCAGGACUUCUUCCUAGCUCCGUGGAACGAAGAGUUGGAACGAAUAGUAGAAUGUUGGGCAGCAGGAAAGACUAGUUACAGAAAAGCCAGCCCCAGUUCAUUCUGGCUAUUGCAUCCGUGGAAUGCAUAGUUAGCUCCGUUUUCAAGUCCCACCCUACCUACUUAUUAGCUUGCCCUGUUUCUAAUGCGCUGUGGACCUUGCUUGUUGGCUUCGUCGACCAAUUCAAUUCCUUGUGUCGGCUCCGAUCUAACUAGUAAGAAGAAAGAUAGAUAUAUAGAAUUGGGUGGGCAGAGUUGGCUUGCUUCCAAGAGAAUAAACACCUGGCGACUCGAAAACAUGAUGCGCUAGGUUUCGAUCAGUUAAUCGAGAUAGGCUGUACUUUUCAUUCGAUUUUGUUACCACGUGCUUUUCACUUCAUGAUCAUGGCUCAUUUUCCUAGAACACCACAAAAAAUCUCCCUACCAGUUUUAUGAGAGUGCUCAGUCAACUUCCUAUAAGAGUUCUGCUUUUGCUAAUCAAAGACAGACAUCAAUCCCUCAUCCUACUCUGUCUGUCAGUCGGUUACUCAGUUCUGUUAGCUACUCACGUGUCUAUACUAAGCUAAGAUAUUCCUCAUUCUUGCACAGGACAGGACAGGAGAGGGGAUUGCCUUAGCUACCGGUACCGAACUCCGAUCAAACUAAAACGAAAAGCUUAACCGAUUCUUGUAGAGUCCUUAGCAUUAGAUAAUGCAUGCGCACACAAGAGGAAUGAACUUGCCUUCUAGUGAUUUGGAAGGAUUGAGUCGGCUGCCCCCAGCCUCGCCCCGCAUCGCCCUCCGGGGGUAGUUACGCCAGUGGAACCAACUCACAAAGCAGCCCAAAAGCAGGAACUUUUCUUGAUUGAAUUGGUUUAAAGGUAAUUCAUCAAUCCUUAAAUUAUUCCAGGAUUCUUUUGGGAUGCUAUCCACCCUUUGAUUUACGAAUUGGCUAUAAUAUUUACUCUGGAUCCCUUCCAGCUGCAAGUCAAGAAGGAUCCUUUGAAACAUUUUAGGAUUAUACUCACAAUUGGUUUGGGGGUUUCGUAUUGCAUUGCCCGCACUAUCCAUAUCCUGGAACAGGAUUGAUUUGGCCAUGGAAAGGGCCAGCUAAACGCCUAAGCUCUGAAAGUACGGAUUGCUUCCCUUCAUAGAUUUUAUUAGUUAAUUUGAGAAGUUCCUCUGGGCUCCUGGUCCUUUCCAGAUACUGCAAACUCAAAUUAUGAAAUAUGAGAUCCCUGCUACUCAGAGUCAGAGACCCGAAAGGACGUGGUGGACUCCCUGGUUCCCCCUCAUCUGCAGGAGAAAUUGAAGAAGGUGCAGCCCCGCCCCCUGCGGAGUGACUCGGGGCCGGCGGUGGAGUAGUACCUGACUGGGUCGAGUAGGCACCCUCCUCAGGGCUAAGUGGCGGAUCUAGAAAAUAGUCUGAGCCGUCAAGAACUAUUUCAGGGGGCAGACCCGAGUGCUCUAUUGGAGCUUUGCCCUUGCCCUUAUCUUGGGCUUGACAGGUAGACUAUAAAGAGAUUCAGUACAGCAAGCCUGACACUCAUAUUUAUUAAUAUAAUGGGGACCCAGAGAAAGAUAAUAGAGAGCCAUCUGCCAAUAGGCAGAAUAGAUUCCACACUCACUUCAGAUUCUGGGUGGGUAAAGGGAAACGUGAUCUCUAUUCUGAGAGGGAGCGCGGUCGAGCAUAGACUCGGCAACAACCAAUACAUCCAAUACCACAGUAGGCCCACGUACUACAGCUUAAAUGUACUGUAUGUGCCAUCAUAAACCAUUUCAGUCGUAGUACCUAACCUACCAGGCACUUGUUUGCCACCAAGAUAACCUAAUUAACGUGAAACCAACUGUAUUUCCGCUGUAGUACCUACCAGGCUUGUAACCAAGCUAAGUGAAAUUGAAAAACAUUUUCGCUGUACUACCGCUCGUGUAACCGACGUAAUCGGUCUUAAACACCUAUAAUAUAAGGAACUCGUGUACAACCAUAACAUUUAUAUAUUUCACAGGUGUACCACCGUAACCAAUUUCACUCGUGUACUACAAAGAAGAAAAGAAAAAAAGAAAAUUAUAGCUUUCUUUUUUUUUGGUGCGUGCUUUUCGCCUGCCUUCCCGACCACGGAUAGGCUACGGGGCUUUGCACUUCGGCCCCUGUGAAUACCACAUCAAGGUGACAGGAUUCGAACCUAUGGCCCUCUGUACCCAAAACAGAUGCGCUGACCAGACUGCGCUACACCUCGUCUCCCCCCCGGAACAUAUGGUAUGGAUCUACCCGAUCGAAAAAGACUCGAACCGCAGUCGCCCACCCCGCGGCACAGGGAGGCGAGAACCACCGCUUUUAGGAAAUAAGCCUACAAUUUUAUUUGAUUCUCGUCUCGUUUCACUUGCAUUUUCUUUCGGAAUGACUUGAUCGUUCUGAGAGUGGAAUCGAACCACUCACUCCGGAAGGAUUUAGAGUCCAAAGGGCCCAGCGAAAGAAGUCCCACGCCAGCAGCCUGCCAGAACCAUUAAUACAGGGUUUGAUCCACUGAACACCCACACAAUCUCGAUUUGACAGAUCAUCGCCAUCUCUUUGGACAUGCAUGUGUUAAGCAAAUGGACUGAACUGAAUGAAGAGUGAUGUCACAUCGCAUUUUCGAUCUUAGGCGAACGAUGGGUUACCGGGUCUACGACCUCGCAAGGCACUACUGUAGACCUCUUUGGGCCAGACGCUUUCUCAAUCAAAAAUGGAAAGAAGGAGUGAGUCUAUCACCUACGUCAUUUCUCAAGCAAAAAUGGAAGCAUUAAGUCAUCGUUCCGUCAUACAACAUCUAAGGUCAUCCCUUACGACUUCCCUACAUCACCCUUCUAAGCUCCUUUGCCCUAUGACAAAAGUCUACUUUGAAUGAAUGAUCAUUUUACGGUUCGAUUCCGGCUCGUGACAUGAAGAAGAAGUCCCAAACAGGGAUCAGAUGAGUUUGCACAGCGUUACUUUUUGUUCUUCGUUGACGGAAAAUCAAACGGUUCCCGGUCUUUUCAGAAGACUAUGCUUACUUUCUUUUCUCUUACCGGUCUUUUCAAUCAAGGAAAUGUAUUCCGUUCCUCGAAUCGGGACUUUCUUUGUCGAGGAUCUCUGGUACUCCAUCGAGUUUCCGUUUCUUCUUCUAAUGGCUGUGUCCGUCUAAGGUGGCUGGCUAUUUGAGCGAUUUAAGUAUCGCGGUUGUCUUGAGCUCUGGAUUGAUGGACGGGGCUGGGUUCAAUUUCAACUCGGAGAUAGCCGGGUCUAUAGCUAUAGUAAGAGCCGCUUUGUGAACAGCAUCGGAUAACAUAGCAAGGGUAGCCGCAAUAGAGCAAUUAUGCCUUAAGCCCAAAACUCUUCCUUUCGGGGAAGGAAGAAAAGACUUUUCUUAUUCCAAGCCAGCUACGGGACAAGUGAAACGGGCAGUUAGUUCAGUGAGGACAGCAGUUCCAGCAAAGACAGUGGAAUGGUAAAGCUGUUCAUUCUCAACGGGAAAGGAUUUCUCUAUUGCAACGGGGCUAGUUUCAACAAGGUGAGCAAAGCUAGAUACUUAGGCUUGUCCAGUUGUUCCACCAACCCCUGCUCCCGACCCAGGUACAUUCUUCUUGGCAGCUCAAGACCUUUCUUGUUCCUUGCUCCCGUGGAUCGAUACUAGUUACUUACCUUUAAUCUUAGCUUAGUGUCUUUUACCUAACCUACUCGCUCGCCGAGCUUUUUUUAUCUUGGUUAUUGGCUUUUUUACUCAAGUUAGAGCUUUUCUUUCCUGGCUUUUUCACUCGAGUUGUUCGCUUGGCUUUAGCUCAUUUUUUUGUCCAUUUCUUCUCUUUACAGAUCCCCUCGAAGUAUCCAGAAGAAUGGCAAUGCAAAAUAAUAGCAAUAGUCGUCUCGUAGGUGCUGGUGAAAGAAUAGCUUAUGGGGCUGGAGUCAAAGGAGCUUUCAUAGACAUAGAAAUCAUAAUAGAAAGAGCAGGCCUGCGAGCAGCGAGUGCCCUUUGUAAGUUGCGAGCCUGCCUGUCAAACCAUAGGCGCCUUACCGCCCCCCUUUCUUUUUUGAAUUAGAAAGAAGGGGAUGAAAGACAAAGAAAGAGAUCAGGUUAUUUAUGAUCGGAGAAAAGGAAGGGGCGUGGUUGAUGUGUCACUGGGAACCCGUAGGAAGGGGAGACGACCGGCCUCAUUCACAUCUGAAAUCGCCAACAUGAACACAAACGAAAUCGUCGAAUUUCGUAUAGAAAGAAAAGGAACCACUUCUAUUCUCUUCUCUUUUCUUAGGUAUAUGAAGAAUUGCUUUUUGGUCCCUUUCGUCCAGUGGUUAGGACAUCGUCUUUUCAUGUCGAAGACACGGGUUCGAUUCCCGUAAGGGAUAUUACUUCAUCCUGGCCUUCAAAUCGUUGGUGCUGAUUAUCAUAUAAUCUCCUUGCUUUGGAGUGAAGAAAAGAAGUUCGAUCAGUUCAUUCAAUUAGGAAGCGUCAGACUAGGCCUUUCUUUCAACGAAUGUCUCAUUCUAAUCUACCUACCCGGAUCCCUUUGCUACUAAGCGAGCCAACUAUCUAUCGACAGACCCAUCAGCUUUGCACUUAACUAACCCAUUUAUUUCCAACAGUUUGACGCCCCAUUCCUCGUUUUCCCACUUGUACUUCUAUGCCUUGCCCCAUAGAGAGGAGUCUUCUUUCUUCGGAAAAACGGCUGAAUUCGAUUAAGUAUUCCCAUAGAGAAAAAAGCCCACUAAUAACUGGAGCUGGAGGUAGUAGCCCUUCCUCUUUGGUCUAGUUGACCGCAGCACCCAUUGCCGAAAGCAGCUCAUACGGGGGUAUUUCCUUGGCCAACGCUUCUAGUAGGAGGCAUAUUCCUUUCUCCCGAGGGUGAGGUUUCUCACUUUUGCCUAUGGCUGGCAUAACCAAAUCUAGAGCGGAGUGAGCCAAUCCAUUUGUAACCGUUUCAAAGUCUUCUGCGGCAUCUUCUGGAUCAGAAUCUCCUGCUCAACCGAGAAUGAAUUCAUUUUCAUUGUAUUAUGUGGCAGUCCCACUACUUUCAACCAUGGAAGCGAAUCGAUGAUCCUGUCCAGAGUAUCUUUAUGAAGAAUAUCCUAGCCUAGUCAUAGCUUUCUUUGUAAAUGAUCUCUCCUCUGCAUCGCUGGAAAAGUUCUCAACCGGAUUAUCGGAGAACAACCGCACUCAACCAAGAACUUCCCCUUCCCCCAUUUCCCUGUCUUCGCUAUUUUGCUUUUCUACUGCUUGCUCCCCGAGCUCCCUAUCCGAGUAAGUCCUACCUUCCUGGUUGGCAAGUAGUAAACCCUACUUCCCUUUCAAAUCCUUGAUUUGAUCAUCUUCAUUCCAUGGUGGACGGAGGAAAACUAGUUACAAAUGUUCUUUGCUCGUGAUACUUUGAAUUGAAAGAGGAACGCUUGCAACGAUAGCCCUUGUCAAGCAAAGCAUCCUAGUGUGAAAAAGCAAGAAAAUGCACUGACUGGCCCUGCCUUCAGCCGUACUCUCCUUUCAUCUGGGUGGGUACUAGUUUGAAAGCAGGAACUCGGAAAGGAGGCACGGUUUUAGCAAGAAGCAAGGAAUUCCAAUUCAUAGGAAAGCCAGCCCUUCGAAGAAAACGGAAGUGCUAGCAACGAAAGCAGCAGGGCCACGAAUCGGAUUAACAGAUAGGGAUCAGGUUGUUGUUGAAGUUCAGUAAAGAGCAGGGCCAAGCCAAGCCGGAUUAGCAGAAGAAAAAAAGAAAGAGAAGGGAUACCCUUGCAUCCCUUCUCUUUCCAUUUUCAAUAUUACAGAUUAUCUAAUCUUUGUUGCUGCUUAGGACUAGGCGAACAUCAGAUGAGAUGAAAGCUAGUACUACCUCAUACGAUACGGUGAAGAAAUUCUAAUCUGCUCUAGAAAACCACUUUUCAUGUUCCAGAUAUAGCACGUAGGUUGUGACUCCACAUGGGGAGCUGAGGGACAUAACAUGAUAAUAGAAGGUCAUCCUAGGUAGAGCUGUAGCACAGAUCCACGGAGCGGGAGGUAAGAGGAAAAGAAAAGAAUACCACCAUAAAAGAAAAUUGUGCCCUCUUGAGCCCUAAACCUAGGAGCAAUGGUUUCUCUCCUUCCCAAACUGCAACCGCAACCAGUUCUAAUUCAAACAGUGUGGUGGAGUUCAAUCAGAAACUCUCCUUCAUCCCUCUUCAAAUGCAUUCCUCACUACGAGAUUGAAUAUGUUUUCCCAGCCUCCCACCAGUAGGCGAAUCCCUCCAACCAAUGACUACACUACCUUGGUUAUCCGCUUUCAUGUCUUGGAUUGAGCUUUCUAACUCUUAUUAUAGUUGGGUGGGCGGAAAGAAAGGACAAGAUUCCUGCUUCGUUCAAAGUCCUAGUCCUGUCUCCUGAUAUCUCGCCCGCUAUUUCUAUCUCCGCUAAACCUAGUCACUUGGCUAGCUAUACUUCUAUAGGAACUAUCUAAGCUAUACUUUACUUGACAUGACUGCCUAUCCUGGAACUAAAAGUCUUAAAUACGUCUCUCUUGGCUACCCGUGACUUGCGUUGACCUAUCCCUACUACUUGGUUAUUAGCUUACCCUUUUAUACCUAUUAGAAACCCUAGCUAGCUUGUAAACACCUAUCUCGUGCUUUACUUCUAUACUGACCUAAACGUGAACUGAACAAUAUGCCUACCUUUUUUAUGUUUCUCAACAAUAAGCAUCCCGUGGUGACAACAAACCAUAUGCCAACAAACAACUCCUUAAAAUGCUUAUAUGUAUACAGCUUGGCCUUGCUAUUCACAAAUGUCUAUCAGCUUCUCCUGCUUCUAUACUUGCCUAUCUGUGACAUGACCUAUUCCUACUUGCUUUGUCAACUACUUUACGAUACUUAACUUAACUUUACGAUACUUUACUUUAUCCCCAGACCUAUAAACAAUGGGUCUCAAUUCGGGAGGAAGAACCGGUAAAUUGUACAUACGAAUGUCAAUCUUCAUUUAAUACACUGGUAGGGGUCGAUCAGGCAAAUCCCAAAGCCCCGAACUGCUCUACUGAUCUUCUCUCUCUUCAGACUCACUGAACCAGACUCCUUUUGCACUGAGAACACAAUUAAGAACCCUCCUUCUCACAUCACAAGAAGGCAAACCUUGUACGUUGAUCGAAUCUUCUUUCGCAUCCAGAAGAGAGGCUGUGGGCUAUCCGAGAGAGUGGUUCAGGUGACUACCGGAGUCAUUGAUUAAGCAGGUCAGAUGGGCUUAGUAGGGCUCGAACCUACAAUAUCACCGUUAUGAGCGGUACGUUUCAACCAAUUAAACUAUAAGCCCAAUCGGAUCUCUACAUGCCGGGAA